CCUACGGGAUGCAGCAGUGGGGAAUAUUGCACAAUGGGCGCAAGCCUGAUGCAGCCAUGCCGCGUGUAUGAAGAAGGCCUUCGGGUUGUAAAGUACUUUCAGCGGGGAGGAAGGUGUUGUGGUUAAUAACCGCAGCAAUUGACGUUACCCGCAGAAGAAGCACCGGCUAACUCCGUGCCAGCAGCCGCGGUAAUACGGAGGGUGCAAGCGUUAAUCGGAAUUACUGGGCGUAAAGCGCACGCAGGCGGUCUGUCAAGUCGGAUGUGAAAUCCCCGGGCUCAACCUGGGAACUGCAUUCGAAACUGGCAGGCUAGAGUCUUGUAGAGGGGGGUAGAAUUCCAGGUGUAGCGGUGAAAUGCGUAGAGAUCUGGAGGAAUACCGGUGGCGAAGGCGGCCCCCUGGACAAAGGCUGACGCUCAGGUGCGAAAGCGUGGGGAGCAAACAGGAUUAGAUACCCCAGUAGUC
Molecule: ribosomal RNA, 465 nt
Filed under: uncultured bacterium
Lineage: Bacteria
Description: bacterial SSU rRNA
Rfam family: Bacterial small subunit ribosomal RNA
Source: RNAcentral